GAGCGGGUACGGUGCGGAACACGUGUGCACCUGCUUUAAUUCCUUUGGGGGGAUAGCCUUUCGAAAGAGAUAUACCCAUAAUAUGUUGAAUGGCAUCACCUCCGAAACAUUUGAAAACUCCGGUGGAUAGAGAUGGGCACGCGCAAGAUUAGAUAGUUGGUGAAGGUAACGGCUCACCAAGUCUACGAUCUUUAGGGGGCCUGAGAGGGUGAUCCCCCACACUGGUACUGAGACACGGACCAGACUCCUACGGGAAAGGGGGCAAGCAAGUUGGAAAGGAAUAUUGGACACAUGGGUGAGAGCCUGCAUCCACCAUCCCGCGUGAAGGACGACUGCCUAUGGGUUGUAAACUUCUUUUGUAUAGGAUAAACUACCUCGUGAGGGUAGCUGAAGGUACUAUACGAAUAACACCGGCUAACUCCGUGCCAGCAGCCGGGUAAUANGGAGGGUGAAGCGUUAUCCGGAUUUAUUGGGUUUAAAGGGUCCGUAAGCGGAUCUGUAAGUCAGUGGUGAAAUCUCACAGUUAAUGUGAAACUGCAUUGAUACUGAGGUCUCCGAGUGUUGUUGAAGUACUGGAAUAAGUAUGUAGCGGUGAAAUGG
Molecule: ribosomal RNA, 600 nt
Filed under: uncultured bacterium
Lineage: Bacteria
Description: bacterial SSU rRNA
Rfam family: Bacterial small subunit ribosomal RNA
Source: RNAcentral